AUGCAGACCUCCCCAGUUGCUGGGGCGCUGGACCCUGCUAUACUGGACACAAGGUUUCUUCCCCAGGGAACAGAGCUUGAGCGGGGGGCCACCCCUGCGUCCUACCGGAGUUCUGAAGCGCGGUCAGGCGCGGAGAGCGGACGCCCAGCGCCAGAUUCUGUGGGCGCCGGAGAUCAGGCCCACUGUGCCGGAGAUCAGGCCCACUGAGCCGCAGCUGCGCACAGGCGGGGCAGGAAAAAGGAUGAGGUAAGUUUGUUCCUGUCAAUUGGGAACCCCCUCAACCACUUCCAUUCCCCAAAUACCUGCGCUGCUACCGAUGCCUCUUGGAGACCAAGGAGUUAGGGUGCCUUCUGGGAUCUGACAUCUGCCUCACCCCGGCUGGCAGCAGCUGCAUCACUCUCCACAUAAAGAACAGCAGCGGUUCUGACAUCAUGGUGAGUGACUGCCGAAGUAAGGAGCAGAUGAGUGAUUGUUCAAAUACCCGAACUUCUCCGGUGUCUGGCUUCUGGAUAUUCUCUCAAUGCUGCUUCCUGGAUUUCUGCAAUGACCCUCAAAACAGAGGGCUCUAUACUCCUUAGUGUGACUGCAACAACCUUUGGUGUAAAAUUCCACCAGUUUCCAGCCACCUUCCUGACUUCUAUCUGGGCUUGGCCAGGACUUCUAGUCCCUCAUACCAGCCCUCCUUGC
This 687-nucleotide small RNA is filed under the name Pongo abelii (Sumatran orangutan). RNAcentral describes it as "processed transcript". The record is from RNAcentral. Lineage: Eukaryota; Metazoa; Chordata; Mammalia; Primates; Hominidae.